CUUCCAUCCACCGACUGUUCGACGAUAUUCCUUCUUUUCUAACCUUCCACUCCUCUUCUCAUCCACUGUCAGAUCUUUUCUCACUCUCACUCUCAUACUCAAAUUCAUACUCAUUUGCAUUGCCUAAUCAAAUACCCAUUUCCCGAAAAUGGAUAGAGAUUCAUCUGACGAGGAAGACGAUCGCCAGACUCUAAUUGAGCAAAACGAUAGGAAGCCAAAUCACCACCACCACCACCAACCAGUCCCCACUUCCUCUCCUCAGCGGCGGUCCUCCUCCACCUUCCACAUUGAGGAUCUCGAGUCUCUUGGUGGUUCAAUACGCCGUCGUUUCUUUAGUAACUUCAAUAAGAGGUACUACUACUAUUUGUUGGCUAUUUUUCUGCCUCUCUUAAUCGUCGUCGUCAUUUUCUCCGCCGAUAUAAGGAAUAUGUUCUCCGCCAAUCUAUCUGCUCUCAGGCUUGAUUCCGUUUCAGACCGGAUGAGAGAGGCUGAGUUACAAGCGCUUUACUUGCUGGGUCAGCAGCAAUUUUCUCUAAUCUCUCUCUUGAACCAAUCAUUUCCCUUUCACAAUAAUAACAACAAUACGCUUUUGAAUUCCAAUUCCAAUUCCAACUCUAGUGUUAAUUCAAAUGCCACUUUUGUGUCCACUAACUUAGAGGAACAAGGCUUGAGAUUCAAGAUAGAGGAUUUGAGAUCUGCCCUUCUCAAGCAGAUUUCGCUAAAUAAACAAAUUCAACAGGUUCUAUUAUCCCCUCACAAGUCUGCGAAUGUGAAUGUAUCUGCUUCAGAUGUCGAUAACGCUGCUGGGCCAUUUGUGGGUUCUGCAUUUGGUUACGAUGGGUGUAGGAAGAUGGAGUCAAGGUUCUCGGAAAGGAAGACCAUAGACUGGAAACCCAGAUCAGACAAGUUCUUGUUUGCCAUAUGCUUAUCUGGGCAGAUGAGUAACCAUUUGAUUUGCUUGGAGAAGCAUAUGUUUUUCGCGGCUUUGUUGAAUCGGGUUUUGGUUAUGCCAAGUUCUAAAUUUGAUUAUCAAUAUAGUAGGGUGUUAGAUAUUGAACAUAUAAAUCAAUGUUUGGGAAGGCAGGUGGUCGUCUCAUUUGAAGAAUUUGCACAAAUGAGGAAGAAUCAUUUGCAUAUUGAUCGGUUUAUAUGCUACUUCUCCUCACCUGCUCCGUGCUAUGUGGAUGAAGAACAUGUUAAGAAGUUGAAGGGGUUAGGGAUUUCAAUGGGGAAGCUUGAGUCGCCUUGGAAGGAGGAUGUUAAGAAACCAAGUAAGAAAACGGUUCAGGAUGUGCAGGCCAAGUUUUCUUCCAAUGAUGAUGUUAUUGCUAUUGGAGAUGUGUAUUUUGCUGAUGUAGAGAAGGAGUGGGUGUUGCAGCCUGGUGGUCCUCUUGCACACAAAUGCAAGACAUUGAUCGAACCAAGUAGGCUUAUAAUACUUACUGCCCAGCGAUUUAUUCAAACUUUCUUGGGGAAGAACUUCAUUGCCCUCCAUUUCCGGCGGCAUGGCUUCUUGAAGUUCUGGUAUCCUUUUCUUUUUCUUGCUUCUGUCGUCUUUUUGUCUUUAAAAUGUUUAUUGCUCUAGGUGCUUAAAGCUAAUUGGUUUCUGGGCCUGCUAGGCAUGUAGGAGUGACCUUUUUUCUUUGGAGCAUGUGCUGCUUGUGUGUAUCUGUGUAGAUUACUGAGACUACUUGGACACUAAUACGCCAUGAUGCCUCUAACAGACGAACACUUUUUUGAUGUUUUGCCAGUAAUGUUAAAACGCCAAGUUGCUUUUACCCCAUACCCCAAGCUGCAGAUUGCAUAGCGCGGGUGGUUGAAAGGACCAAUGCACCAGUCAUAUAUCUUUCCACUGAUGCGGCAGAAAGUGAAACUGAUUUGUUGCAGUCACUAAUUGUGCUGAAUGGGAAAGCUGUACCCCUUGUCAAACGGCCAUCUCAUACUUCAGUGGAGAAGUGGGAUGCUUUGUUAUCAAGACAUCGCAUUGAGGACGAUUCUCAGGUGGAAGCCAUGCUUGAUAAGACAAUCUGUGCUAUGUCUAGUGUUUUCAUAGGGGCCUCAGGGUCCACAUUCACUGAGGACAUUUUGCGGUUGCGAAAGGAUUGGGAAACAGCAUCUUUAUGUGAUGAGUACCUUUGCCAAGGUGAAUUGCCAAACUUCAUUGCAGAAGAUGAAUGAAGAUGAUGAAAAUUGAGUUACUGUUUUCUGCUAUGGAUUGUCAUUCCUUGUGAAGACGCUUUGCAUGAAUUCAAUCAUCUGCAAUACCGGAAUUCAUUAUUCCUGGAUCGAUGCCCGUAUGGCUAGCGAUGCGGCCUUGUAUGUUAGUGUAUGAUAUUAUAGUAGCAUUGCGUUUUGCACAUAAGUUUCUCUUUCAUUGUUUCGUGGUUGAGAAUUAUUUUUGUAAUAAAGUCUAAAAUAAAUACAUUAGUUGAAGAAACUGGUCUCCCGCCGUUGCUAUUGACGACUUCUAAUAAUCAUUCUUUAUAUUUGCUCAGCUCAAAAACCAUUAAAGUUUGGGGCAAAUCAUUUGUAGAGUGGUAUGUUCAUUCACUAACCAUUUUGUCUUUGGAGAUUUAUUGUUGUAAAGAAGCCAUAUGAUAGUUGAAGUUGAGCAUUUGUUUUCUGCUAAAGAGAUACAUGCAGGGUCAAG
RNAcentral lists this unclassified non-coding RNA (2650 nucleotides) under Hevea brasiliensis (rubber tree). The record is from RNAcentral. Lineage: Eukaryota; Viridiplantae; Streptophyta; Magnoliopsida; Malpighiales; Euphorbiaceae.